Dromiciops gliroides (monito del monte) is the source of this 3610-nucleotide RNA transcript. It is a transcript of the gene named eukaryotic translation initiation factor 4E family member 2, with no coding region annotated. The transcript is spliced from 10 exons. NCBI's taxonomy places the organism in Eukaryota, Metazoa, Chordata, Mammalia, Microbiotheria, Microbiotheriidae. The record is from RefSeq and is a predicted model, not a curated record.
GGGACCGAGGCCGAGGGACUCGGCAGAGCGGAAGUCAGUGAGUGAGACGGCGGCGGCGGCGGCGGCGGCGGUGGCGAGAGGAUGAACAACAAGUUCGACGCAUGAGGAGACUGAGGCUCAGAGAGGGAAAAGGACUUGCCGAAGACAUUAAUGAGACCCAGUCCCAGACCUCCUGACUGCUUGAAAGAUGAUGACAGUGGGGACCAUGACCAGAAUGAAGAAAACAGCGCACAGAAAGACGGUGAGAAGGAAAAAAGUGAGCGAGACAAAAGUCAGAGCAGCAGCAAGAGGAAGGCUGUUGUCCCAGGGCCUGCAGAACACCCACUACAGUACAACUACACCUUCUGGUACUCCCGGAGGACGCCAGGCCGGCCGACCAGCUCACAGAGCUACGAGCAGAACAUUAAGCAGAUCGGCACAUUCGCCUCUGUGGAGCAGUUCUGGAGGUUUUAUAGCCACAUGGUACGUCCUGGGGACCUGACAGGCCAUAGUGACUUCCAUCUCUUCAAAGAGGGAAUCAAACCCAUGUGGGAGGAUGAUGCAAAUAAAAAUGGUGGCAAAUGGAUUAUUCGACUCCGCAAGGGCUUAGCAUCCCGGUGCUGGGAGAAUCUCAUACUUGCCAUGUUGGGGGAACAGUUCAUGGUGGGCGAGGAGAUCUGUGGGGCCGUUGUCUCUGUCCGUUUCCAGGAGGACAUUAUUUCAAUAUGGAACAAGACUGCCAGUGACCAGGCCACCACAGCCCGUAUCCGGGACACGCUCCGUCGAGUGCUUAACCUACCUCCCAACACCAUAAUGGAAUACAAAACACACACCGACAGCAUCAAGGCCUGGGAGGAGUUUCAUGGCCUGGUGAACAGCAGCGGCCGCUGAUCGGACGCUUUCCCUCUCUGUCUCUCACACCCAGGCAGUUGGACUCUUGGGUUAGAGGUGGCAACCAGUGAAGAUGUGGAACAGAGCAAGUUCCUAUGCUUUAAGGACAAUUCAAGUUUUCGAAAUACAAAAAUCACAUUGUGAAAGUACCCAAGCUGGCAAUAAUCCUUUUCUGUAUGUGUGUGUCUGUCUGUCUGAAACGGAUGGGAGGCCUCCAGCAGCUCCCUCCGUCUGCUCACUGAAGGGACAUCCCCGAUCCAUGGGCUCCCCUUUUGCACUCAUCCCUGGAGGAAGGAUUCCACUAGACGCCCUGCGGCAUCGCUGACUUUAUAAAGCAGAAAGACAGAAAAGAUGACUUUGUAAUAGACAGACUUUUUAAAAAAUGGGGUUCUGGGGAGAGUCGAACCUUUCAUUUGCUGUGUGUGCCGUUGUCCACAUGCCUUCUGGGCCCUCUCUUGCUCUCUUGUGACACUUCACAAAGGGUAUUGUGAACACACGUAUGUGCCAGAGCUGUUAACGGCAAGUUUAUCAGUAUUAUGAAUGUCUGUGCAUCUGGGAAGAAUUUCUGUUGGAGUCACCGUGCUUAGCUGUAAGUGCUCCUUUCUGGCGCUGCCUUUCAGUUAUUGGGACGUUUUGGUUUUUUUCUCCCCCGUUCUCCCUCAUCCUCACUUCUGUCCUCUGAACGUGUCCAUGGUGUGUCGGUGACUGUCCAGGCCUCCUGCCAGCCUCCGGUCCUCCCCUUUCUCUUCCCAAGGACACUUCCUUUCUUCCUCAGCGUGGUUGCACACAGUGCAGCCUCGGAUGUGGGGUCUGCUCCCAUUUUGCAGAGGCGUGGGCCCCAUCUUGAGCUCCGGCUAUCGGGCUUCCCUGUGGGCAGGGCAUGAGACCCUGAGAGAGAGGCCUGUGUCUGAGGGCUGGCUGUCCCCUCGCUGAGCAGGAAGGGGAGGGAGAGGACUUUGGGAGGCCAGAUCUGGCUGGAUCUUAAGAUGUGCCGUGGGAGGAUCCCGGACAUCGGAGGUGACACGGUGGCUGUCGAUGGCUGUCACGCCUUUCCUGCCUGUUUGCAGUUGGCCAGGAGAGCUUCUUUCCGGCAAUCCUCUGUGCUUGGUGCCCACUCUGGCAAAUACCUGCUGGUCCACAGGAUGCCCAGAUGAAAUCCUUGAAAGCUUCGGUCAUCAAGCAUUAUGAGGGACCAGAUCCUUGGUCUGAGAAGUUUGAGUAACCUCUCGACUCCAGAAAGACUGAAUUAGGAAAAGUAGCACGAGUCCCCAAGGCCCAAAUAAGUGCUCAGAUUAGCCUGCAGCAACCUUCCAGUUCCCCUGACCCACUUAGCUCUUGGGAGCAAAGAUUAGCAGUGCCUUAAAAUGAGGGCCUCUCUUCAAAGCAUCCUCUAAGCCUGGGUUGGGGGAGGUGGGCCAAGGUAGGGACCCUUAACCAACUGGUCUUAGAGGGAACCUAUGAGAGUGACAGGCAUUUCCCUAUUGGGCUCAGAAUCCUUUCUUCCUCUCCAGCACCCCCAGGCACCACUGGUUUGGGGAUACUUUCCUUUUAUUAUUAUUAUUUUUUUAUCAUCCUAAAGGUUUUCAUUAGAACAAAUGGAAAAUGAAAUAGAUUGUGUGGGUGUGGUGUGUUGUGCAUUUCCACUCUUGGUAAAAUCAGGUGUGCCUAAGGAAAUUUAGGGAUGAUUCCGACUUGAGAAGUGGGGAGCAUGGAUCCUUGCACCAAGCCAAAUGGGCACAACAGGUGAAGUUGACUUUGGAGAGUACAAGGAGAGCUUCCCAUUCAUGCCCCCUCAAAGGGAAAUAGCUUUGCUCUUGCCUGGGCACAGUUGGAUUUGCCAUGGAAAUGCCAAAGAGGGCGAAUCUGGGGAGAUCUGCUCUCUUUGGGGCAUUUACCUGUGUACGUGUGGGUGGCUCUUCACCUAUGUGUGUGUGUCCAUGAAUCUGAAUCUUUUCAGUCAUGUGUUUGUGGGGGGCCUUUGUCCAUGUUCCUUUUAACUCUCAUCUGCUGUUCAGGCUCUUGAACCACUGAUAUUUUCCAGAGCUGCUCAUGUUUUUCCCCCUCCACUUCUCCCCACUUGCAGUAUUUUUCUCCUAGCCAAAAAAAAAAAAAGGGUAUAUACAUAUACAUACGUGUAUAUGUAUAUAUGUGUGUGUGUGUGUGUGUGUGUGUGUAUGUAUAUAUACUGACACAGUAUUGACUAGACCAAUUCAUCGCCCCUUUUCGAUGACAGUUAACCCUUGAUGUUUCUUUGUCCUGGCUGUCCAGCAACUUUCUUGGGAGAGCUAUGCUCUUGGCUCCAUCCAACCCCCUGUAGUUGCAAACAGAGCUGAGGGAUCUCUUUCACUGGAGCCAGCUUCUGUGUAAUGAGACAUGACAUGGUUAUAGUUCCAGGAAAUAGAGGUCAGCCAGGGCCAACCUAGCGAGCAGGGACUCAUUUCACCCCCACCCUGUCUUUCCUGCUGGCAUGAUUGCUAUCCCGUUGUCCUCUUGUAUUUUCUUUCUGAGGCACCCUUUCUGCCUCCCACUUUUUUUACCCUUCAGUUUUUGGGGUGUGUUAUUCUGUGAAACCAGAAACGUCCAUUGCGUCUUACCCAGAGUAAAGCAUAUGGUUCACGUUCCCAGAAAGGGCUUGCUGGCUGUUACUAAUGGAGAAUUAGCAGAGGCCACAGUAAGAGUGAGUGUCGCACCUUCAGAGCAUUUGUCUGCUGCAAUAAUAAAUGGAAAAAAUGGGCAAGAA